GACGGAGGGUGCUAGCGUUGUUCGGAAUCACUGGGCGUAAAGGGCGCGCAGGCGGCCUCCUCAGUCGGACGUGAAAGCCCGGGGCUCAACCCCGGAACGGCGUCCGAGACGGGGGGGCUGGAGACCGGGAGAGGAGGGUGGAAUAGCCAGUGUAGAGGUGAAAUUCGUAGAUAUUGGCUGGAACACCGGUGGCGAAAGCGGCUCUCUGGCCCGGGUCUGACGCUGAGGCGCGAAAGCGUGGGGAGCAAACAGG
Molecule: ribosomal RNA, 253 nt
Filed under: uncultured bacterium
Lineage: Bacteria
Description: partial 16S ribosomal RNA
Rfam family: Bacterial small subunit ribosomal RNA
Source: RNAcentral